GAUGAACGCUAGCGACAGGCCUAACACAUGCAAGUCGAGGGGCAGCACAAGGAGCAAUCUGAGGUGGCGACCGGCGCACGGGUGAGUAACACGUAUGCAACCUGCCUGUAAGCGGGGGAUAACCCGUUGAAAGACGGACUAAUACCGCAUAAUACUGGAGAUCUGCAUGGAUAUUCAGUUAAACAUUUAUGGCUUACAGAUGGGCAUGCGCAUGAUUAGAUAGUUGGAGAGGUAACGGCUCCCCAAGUCAACGAUCAUUAGGGGUUCUGAGAGGAAGGUCCCCCACACUGGGACUGAGACACGGCCCAGACUCCUACGGGAGGCAGCAGUGGGGAAUAUUGGUCAAUGGACGCAAGUCUGAACCAGCCACGUCGCGUGAAGGAAGACGGCCCUACGGGUUGUAAACUUCUUUUAUACGGGAAUAAAGUGCCCCACGCGUGGGGUUUUGCAUGUACCGUAUGAAUAAGGAUCGGCUAACUCCGUGCCAGC
This 489-nucleotide ribosomal RNA is filed under the name uncultured bacterium. RNAcentral describes it as "bacterial SSU rRNA". It matches the Rfam family "Bacterial small subunit ribosomal RNA", at positions 28 to 512 of the family's 1533-position model. The record is from RNAcentral.